CCUAGAGUUGUAGGCUUUGCCUGCUAUCUCUUACCCAUGUCUUUUGAGUACCCUCGUUUCCCUUCCUCGGCGGGUCCGCCCGCCGAUUGGACAAUUUAAACCAUUUGCAGUUGCAAUCAGCGUCUGAAAAAACUUAAUAGUUA
This 143-nucleotide unclassified non-coding RNA is filed under the name soil metagenome. RNAcentral describes it as "partial internal transcribed spacer 1". The record is from RNAcentral.